AAGAAAGGGAAAAAAGGCUGGAGCAUCAGAUUCUCUUCGAAGACUUCUAGUCACCUCCCAAACCCUAACUUUCUCCGUUUCUCUGCAACCUUCUUCCUAGUUCCUACAAAGUACAAACUCCACCAUCACUUCCAACAAACGCCGUAGUGAAGCAUCACCGUCGCGGGUCGAAGCUUCACCGUCGCGAAUCGAGGCAUCUCUCGUGGAUCGAAGCGUCACCGUCACCGAAGCGUUGGUCGUCGUCUGGCUCUGACCUUCUGUGCUCUCGGCCUCUCCCACGUAUCUGAAAGUGAUGCUUCUGAACCUACCAAGGAGAAUGUCCCUCAUGCAUCUCCACCUGAAGAUUGUAGAGAGAAUGACGAAUGUGAAGAUGGGAAUGGAAUGGCUCUUGAUGAACCGUGCAAAACAUAGCAGAAGGGCAAGUAAAGAGCAAUGAAAAAUGCAACAGGCAGGAUAGUCAAUGAGUAAUACAAAUGGAAAAGUUCAAAGGGAAUUGAAGCCACCAGAGCUCUAGAGGUUAUAGAUUGUUUUUUAAGUUUGUGUUCCAUUUACGUAAUUUUAUUUAAUAUUUAAUUAAAUCGGUUAAACCUCAAUUGAACCUCAAUUGAAUUAUUGAACUAGUAAAUCAGUUACUUCAUCGGUUUAUUGAC
Arachis ipaensis is the source of this 650-nucleotide non-coding RNA. The record is from RefSeq and is a predicted model, not a curated record. Lineage: Eukaryota; Viridiplantae; Streptophyta; Magnoliopsida; Fabales; Fabaceae.